Long non-coding RNA from Triticum dicoccoides, 2222 nucleotides. RefSeq lists it as uncharacterized. The transcript is spliced from 4 exons. Lineage: Eukaryota; Viridiplantae; Streptophyta; Magnoliopsida; Poales; Poaceae. The record is from RefSeq and is a predicted model, not a curated record.
CCGACUGUCGCUGCCCCCGCCCCGCCUCGUCCCUCCCAAACCCUACCCGCCGCCGCGCCGCCCACCGACCGCUGCGGCCCCCGCCCCGCCUCGCCCCUCCCUCCCACCGACGAGGAGAAGAGGCACACCACGAGCAGCUACACCACCGGGCGCUGCUCCGUUGUUGUGUGUGGGUAACCGGUGGCCCGCGUCGGUGGAGCAGGGAGGAGAUGGAGGGUCCCGCGGCGGCCGCUCAUGGGGGAGGUCUGGGGCUUGUACGCCCCCGUCGUGGCUGCUUUGGAGCAGCACCGGCAUCCGGCGUCGGCCACGCGAGGAGAGGCGCGUGCUCGCAGGGGGAGGCGCCGGAUCUCACGGGGCAAGUGCGCCAGCGACCUGAGGUAGAGGUGACGAUUACAAGAUCAAGGUGUGGAACUACAAAGCAAGCUACAACAAAUGGCUGCUCGUCCCCUCCUCCCUCUGUGAGAAGGACGACUUGGGCAUCCCUGGGCAUCUCAACCACAUGAAGAAAAUGUUCAUGGAUUACAAGUUUAUAACUAGAAGUAGGUACUGGUUCAUGGAUUACAUGUUUUCUCUUCUUUUGCAAAUCAACAUGAGUUUUUGUCGUUGUUGCAAUCAAGAGUUCAAAUAUGUCACAAAAAGAAAAGCUUUGAUGUUAGCUGCAGUGGAUGGAUAUCAAUGGCAUGAUGUCAUGGACGGUGGCGUCCUUCCUCAGAUUUGGUGCGCAAAGGCACAAUUUUCUUCUAGGGCUUCAUCUGCAAAUCGACAAAAGUAUGAAAGGAUCAACUUGUCGAAGUGGUAGAAGAAGCUAGGGGGGAAAGAGAAAAUGAAUCAGAUCUCACCUGCAGGGAGAGAGGACUUACGCAACCAACCAGUUGCCAUCGGAGGCUUGUCUAAUUCCUUGCGUGAUGCCUUCCUGUUGCUCCAACAACGACGCCGUUCGCCGCGGCUCUCUGAUGGCCGCCGCAGAUAUUCUCCAACAACCGCCGCUGUUCUGACCGUGACGCCUCCUCGACGACUUGCCGCUGAUCUUCGAGGAUCAGCCGCUGCUUUUUUUCAACAACGGGGCUGCUGCUGAUUCUCUCAAGCCCGGAACUGUGACCAGAGAGAAGAACAAUGAAGAUCCAGGGAACUCCCCUUUCUUUACUCUUCCUUGUCUCCGUGAUGUCUUGUUUCUCUCUUGAAUGCCUAGGAUCACAUAUCUAGUAGAAUCAAGUUGUUCUCGCUUAAAUUCAAUCACUUACCAUGCGACACUGAUUUUUUGUUAAUACAUUGUCCAAGUCAUAAAUUUCUUGAACUAGUGCAUGUAUAUAUUUGGGUGCUAGUCAAUUAGAGAAUGUCCGUGAUACCAUGUUUGUACUACGUGCUAGUGUAGCUGUAUUGAUGCAAAUACUGCUUGUGUCCUUAUGAAUUAGUAAAUAGCCUUUCAUGUCAUUCUCCAAGUCUGCACAUAGCAUUGUUAUUUUAGGAGCAGAUUUCUCAUCCUUGUUUGGAUAAGAAACCUGAACUUGCUUAAUAGCCAAUUUAGUUGUGUAUUACCAGUUCAAGUUGUUUUGUAUAUAUCAUGUUCUGUUUUGCUACCGGACACCUUCAACUUAAAUGCUGAAUUGCCUUGUACACAUAAUUGUAUGUAAUCUAAGGGAAAGCCCUUAAUAGUCAGCUGACCUUAUGAACUGUAUAAAUGUAUAAAAAUCUUGUGUUGUUAAACCGAGCUUAUAGACAAUUGGCAACCUCUUAUUGUAGUAGCUGGACCUUCUUCCACCAUCCCUCUAAUAAAGGAUAAAUCAUGAUGCUUCUACUGUCAUAACUUGUUUUCUUGUUUACCAUCCAGGUACAAUGGGACCAAGCUCAACCUCCUCAUCCCUAGCUACUACACGACUGCCAUCCUGUAUAUUCCCUCCAGUUCAUGGAGCAUAUGAACCUCUUACUGUAGUAGCUGGUGAAUGAAGUUUCCAAAUGUUGAAGGAGGAGGACAAUAGGAACUUCUGUUAUGUCUUAUGAAGUUUUCAAAUGUUGAUGGAGGAUAAUAGGAAUUUCUGUUAUGUCUUGUCGUCUAAAUUUCUGUUCUAGUUUUCUUUGUCGUAGAAUAGUUUUGUUUGGUACUUAAUGUUCUUGGGAUGUAAAAAUAUGUAUUGCUGGAAUGAAUGGUUGUAAUAUAAUAACAUUGCACGUUGCUUUGAAAAUGUAUCAGAACUGGGCUAGGCCCAAGAUAGCUUGUGGUGUGA